UCCGCUUCUCGGCCUUUUGGGCUUCAGAUCAAGUGUAGUAUACGUUUCUUAUCAGUUAAUAUUGAAUAUCGUCCCGCCAUCGGGGGACUACAUAGUUAAAAUGGAUUUUUCGAACAGGGAGUCGGAAAUGGGGCUUGCUCCGCUCCGCUCCAGCGCAUCGACCCGGUAUUGCAGUACCUCUCGGGAACGGCCGCAGACAC
Small nuclear RNA from Salvelinus sp. IW2-2015, 200 nucleotides. RefSeq annotates it as U2 spliceosomal RNA. Lineage: Eukaryota; Metazoa; Chordata; Actinopteri; Salmoniformes; Salmonidae. The transcript has a single exon. The record is from RefSeq and is a predicted model, not a curated record.